Molecule: long non-coding RNA, 300 nt
Filed under: Lathyrus oleraceus (garden pea)
Lineage: Eukaryota; Viridiplantae; Streptophyta; Magnoliopsida; Fabales; Fabaceae
Description: Pisum sativum (pea) long non-coding RNA (PSAT_LNC016194)
Source: RNAcentral
AGUAAAAAGGUUUUUACGUGAAAAGCAGAGAAGCGAUCGUGAAAGAGGAAAAGGGCAAAGAGGCAGAGCAAGAGGAAGAAGGUUGGAGAAGAGAAGAGCUUGGAGCUUAAAGAUUCGCCGGAUUAACUCAGGUAAGGGGGGUUUAUCGUCGAUUAAUGGGUAUUAUGGGAUAAUAUGUGAUGGGUAGUGAUAAGCCGUUAAUUUGACCCUAAUUGGGAUUGUUGAUGCUGAAGAAUUAUGUUGGAUAAAUUGUAUUUAGACUGUAAUUGAAUCUGUGUUUGGGUUAGUUGUGAAAUUCCG